RNAcentral lists this ribosomal RNA (460 nucleotides) under uncultured bacterium. RNAcentral's name for it is "partial 16S ribosomal RNA". It matches the Rfam family "Bacterial small subunit ribosomal RNA", at positions 338 to 795 of the family's 1533-position model. The record is from RNAcentral.
CCUACGGGAGGCAGCAGUGAGGAAUAUUGGUCAAUGGGCUUACGCCUGAACCAGCCAAGUCGCGUGAGGGAAGACUGCCCUAUGGGUUGUAAACCUCUUUUGUCAGGGAGCAACGCCGGCUACGUGUAGCCGGACUGAGAGUACCUGAAGAAAAAGCAUCGGCUAACUCCGUGCCCGCAGCCGCGGUAAUACGGGGGAUGCGAGCGUUAUCCGGAUUUAUGGGGUUAACAGGGUGCGAGGGCGGAAUGCCAAGUCAGCGUGAAAACCGCGGGGCUAAACCGCGAACCGCCGUUGAAACUGGCGAUCUGGAGUGGGCGAGAGGAAAGUGGAAUUCGAGGUGUAGGAGUGAAAUGCGUAGAUAUCUCGCAGAACAUCAGUGGCGAAGGCGACAAACCGGCGCACAACUGACGCUGAGGAGCGAAAGCGUGGGUAGCGAACAGGAUUAGAUACCCGAGUAGUC